Molecule: ribosomal RNA, 425 nt
Filed under: uncultured bacterium
Lineage: Bacteria
Description: partial 16S ribosomal RNA
Rfam family: Bacterial small subunit ribosomal RNA
Source: RNAcentral
GUGGGGAAUAUUGGGCAAUGGGCGAAAGCCUGACCCAGCAACGCCGCGUGAAGGAAGAAGGUUUUCGGAUCGUAAACUUCUAUCCUUGGUGAAGAUAAUGACGGUAGCCAAGAAGGAAGCCCCGGCUAACUACGUGCCAGCAGCCGCGGUAAUACGUAGGGGGCAAGCGUUGUCCGGCAUGAUUGGGCGUAAAGGGCGCGUAGGCGGCCCGGUAAGUCUGAAGUGAAAGUCCUGCUUUUAAGGUGGGAAUUGCUUUGGAUACUGUCGGGCUUGAGUGCAGAAGAGGUAAGCGGAAUUCCCGGUGUAGCGGUGAAAUGCGUAGAGAUCGGGAGGAACACCAGUGGCGAAGGCGGCUUACUGGACUGUAACUGACGCUGAGGCGCGAAAGUGUGGGGAGCAAACAGGAUUAGAUACCCCUGUAGUCC